Molecule: ribosomal RNA, 774 nt
Filed under: uncultured Neocallimastigales
Lineage: Eukaryota; Fungi; Neocallimastigomycota; Neocallimastigomycetes; Neocallimastigales
Description: partial large subunit ribosomal RNA
Rfam family: Eukaryotic large subunit ribosomal RNA
Source: RNAcentral
GAGACUCUGUGCGCGUGCAUAUCAAUAAGCGGAGGAAAAGAAACUAACAAGGAUUCCCUUAGUAACGGCGAGUGAAGCGGGAAGAGCUCAAAUUUGAAAUCUUCAAGGUUCUACCUUGACGAAUUGUAGUUUAUAGAAGUGUUUUCUGUUAGUGGAGUGGCAAAAGUUCUUUGGAAUAGGACAUCAUAGAGGGUGAGAAUCCCGUAUUUGGUCAUUCCUCCUAGCGUUGUGAUACACUUUCAACGAGUCGGAUUGUUUGGGAAUGCAGUCCAAAAUGGGUGGUAAAUAUCAUCUAAAGCUAAAUAUUGGCGAGAGACCGAUAGCGAACGAGUACCGUGAGGGAAAGAUGAAAAGAACUUUGAAAAGAGAGUUAAACAGUACGUGAAAUUGUCAAAAGGGAAGCGUUUGACACCAGUGUUGUUUUUCCGAAAAUCAAUUACGAAUGUUUUGUUUUUGAGGAGUUAUGACUUCAUCGGCUUGCUUCUUUCUUUACGAAACUUUCUUAAUGCACUUUUCGGUUAACAAGUCAACAUCAAUUUCUUUUGUUGUAAAAGGGUAUGAGGAAGGUGGCUUUCUUUUCGGAGAAAGUGUUUAUAGCCUUGUACCUCUGCAAUCGGAGAGAUUGAGGUCUGCAGCGUAGAUCCUUCGGGGUUAGAUACAUUUGUGCUAAGUUAUAGCUUUUCAUAGACAACUUGUUGACUAUGUUAAGUCUUGUAGCUUACUCGCUUAUGCUAUUUUACCUACGCUUAGGAUGUUGACGAUCAGCUGAGCGCG